Molecule: unclassified non-coding RNA, 368 nt
Filed under: uncultured Gibberella
Lineage: Eukaryota; Fungi; Ascomycota; Sordariomycetes; Hypocreales; Nectriaceae
Description: sequence contains ITS2
Rfam family: 5.8S ribosomal RNA (bases 1-154)
Source: RNAcentral
AACUUUCAGCAACGGAUCACUUGGUUCUGGCAUCGAUGAAGAACGCAGCAAAAUGCGAUAAGUAAUGUGAAUUGCAGAAUUCAGUGAAUCAUCGAAUCUUUGAACGCACAUUGCGCCCGCCAGUAUUCUGGCGGGCAUGCCUGUUCGAGCGUCAUUUCAACCCUCAAGCCCAGCUUGGUGUUGGGACUCGCGAGUCAAAUCGCGUUCCCCAAAUUGAUUGGCGGUCACGUCGAGCUUCCAUAGCGUAGUAGUAAAACCCUCGUUACUGGUAAUCGUCGCGGCCACGCCGUUAAACCCCAACUUCUGAAUGUUGACCUCGGAUCAGGUAGGAAUACCCGCUGAACUUAAGCAUAUCAAUAAGCGAGGCU